Molecule: ribosomal RNA, 389 nt
Filed under: Pseudarthrobacter sp.
Lineage: Bacteria; Bacillati; Actinomycetota; Actinomycetes; Micrococcales; Micrococcaceae
Description: bacterial SSU rRNA
Rfam family: Bacterial small subunit ribosomal RNA
Source: RNAcentral
GAAUUGUGCUGUAGUCUAGGUGUGGGGGACAUUCCACGUUUUCCGCGCCGUAGCUAACGCAUUAAGUGCCCCGCCUGGGGAGUACGGCCGCAAGGCUAAAACUCAAAGGAAUUGACGGGGGCCCGCACAAGCGGCGGAGCAUGCGGAUUAAUUCGAUGCAACGCGAAGAACCUUACCAAGGCUUGACAUGAACCAGACCGGGCUGGAAACAGUCCUUCUCCUUUGGGGUUGGUUUACAGGUGGUGCAUGGUUGUCGUCAGCUCGUGUCGUGAGAUGUUGGGUUAAGUCCCGCAACGAGCGCAACCCUCGUUCUAUGUUGCCAGCACGUGAUGGUGGGGACUCAUAGGAGACUGCCGGGGUCAACUCGGAGGAAGGUGGGGGAUGACGUA